UACGAAGGGUGCAAACGUUGCUCGGAAUCAUUGGGCGUAAAGCGCACGUAGGCGGCUUCGCAAGUCGGAUGUGAAAUCCCUCGGCUCAACCAAGGACGUGCAUCCGAAACUGCGAAGCUUGAGUACAGAAGAGGAUCGCGGAAUUCCCGGUGUAGAGGUGAAAUGCGCAGAUAUCAGGAAGAACACCCGUGGCGAAGGCGGCUCUCUGGGACGGUACUGACGCUGAGACGCGAAAGCGUGGGGAGCGAACAGG
RNAcentral lists this ribosomal RNA (253 nucleotides) under uncultured bacterium. Its description in RNAcentral is "partial 16S ribosomal RNA". It matches the Rfam family "Bacterial small subunit ribosomal RNA", at positions 524 to 776 of the family's 1533-position model. The record is from RNAcentral.